RNAcentral lists this ribosomal RNA (460 nucleotides) under uncultured bacterium. RNAcentral's name for it is "partial 16S ribosomal RNA". It matches the Rfam family "Bacterial small subunit ribosomal RNA", at positions 338 to 795 of the family's 1533-position model. The record is from RNAcentral.
CCUACGGGAGUCAGCAGUGAGGCAUAUUGGUCAAUGGACGAGAGUCUGAACCAGCCAAGUAGCGUGAAGGAUGACUGCCCUAUGGGUUGUAAACUUCUUUUAUAUGGGAAUAAAAUGUUCCACGUGUGGGAUUUUGUAUGUACCAUAUGAAUAAGGAUCGGCUAACUCCGUGCCAGCAGCCACGGUAAUAGGGAGGCUCCGCGCGUUAUCCGGUUUUAUUGUGUUUAAAGUGAGCGUAGGUGGAUUGUUAAGUCAGUUGUGAAAGUUUUCGGCGUAACCGUAAAAUUGCAGUUGAAACUGGCAGUCUUGAGUACAGUAGAGGUGGGCGGAAUUCGUGGUGUAGCGGUGAAAUGCUUAGAUAUAACGAAGAACACCGAUUGCGAAGGCAGUUCACUGGACGGCAACUGACACUGAGGCUCGAAAGUGUGGGUAUCAAACAGGAUUAGAUACCCGAGUAGUC